AAAGAUUAAGCCAUGCAUGUCUAAGUAUAAGCAAUUAUACAGCGAAACUGCGAAUGGCUCAUUAUAUAAGUUAUCGUUUAUUUGAUAGUACCUUACUACUUGGAUAACCGUGGUAAUUCUAGAGCUAAUACAUGCUAAAAAUCCCGACUUCGGAAGGGAUGUAUUUAUUAGAUUAAAAACCAAUGCCCUCUGGGCUCCUUGGUGAUUCAUAAUAACUUUUCGAAUCGCACGGCCUUGCGCCGGCGAUGGUUCAUUCAAAUUUCUUCCCUAUCAACUUUCGAUGUUUGGGUCUUGGCCAAACAUGGUCGCAACGGGUAACGGAGGGUUAGGGCUCGACCCCGGAGAAGGAGCCUGAGAAACGGCUACUACAUCCAAGGAAGGCAGCAGGCGCGCAAAUUACCCAAUCCCGAUUCGGGGAGGUAGUGACAAUAAAUACUGAUACAGGGCUCUUUUGGGUCUUGUAAUUGGAAUGAGUACAAUUUAAAUCUCUUAACGAGGAACAAUUGGAGGGCAAGUCUGGUGCCAGCAGCCGCGGUAAUUCCAGCUCCAAUAGCGUAUAUUAAAGUUGUUGUGGUUAAAAAGCUCGUAGUUGAACCUUGGGCCUGGCUGGCCGGUCCGCCUCACCGCGUGCACUGGUCCGGCCGGGCCUUUCCCUCUGUGGAACCCCAUGCUCUUCACUGAGUGUGGCGGUGAAACAGGACUUUUACUUUGAAAAAAUUAGAGUGCUCCAGGCAGGCCUAUGCUCGAAUACAUUAGCAUGGAAUAAUAAAAUAGGACGCGUGGUUCUAUUUUGUUGGUUUCUAGGACCGCCGUAAUGAUUAAUAGGGACAGUCGGGGGCAUCAGUAUUCAAUUGUCAGAGGUGAAAUUCUUGGAUUUAUUGAAGACUAACUACUGCGAAAGCAUUUGCCAAGGAUGUUUUCAUUAAUCAGGAACGAAAGUUAGGGGAUCGAAGACGAUCAGAUACCGUCGUAGUCUUAACCAUAAACUAUGCCGACUAGGGAUCGGACGAUGUUAUUUUUUGACGCGUUCGGCACCUUACGAGAAAUCAAAGUGCUUGGGCUCCAGGGGGAGUAUGGUCGCAAGGCUGAAACUUAAAGAAAUUGACGGAAGGGCACCACCAGGGGUAAACCGCUUCGCGCAGCCGCAGUAGCUCUGCCCCAGAAAGCAGCCCGAAAGGGUCAGUGGUGUUCCUGCCAGCGCUCCGGCGCGGCGAACUAAUUGCUAGUCUCCUCUGGAGGCGACACCCUCAAAUUGCGGGAAAAUCCUAAAGCCAGUGUCACCAAGCCGGCGCCGAAAGGGCGUCGGUGGCCGGGGUAGCGACCUAGGGUACGGUAAAAGCACACUGGAUAAUGCAAUGGACGAUCCGCAGCCAAGCCUCGUCGCCGCAGGGCACGGGGAAGGUUCAGAGACUACAUGGGGGUGGGUAGUGCACUGUCUGGGGGCUCCGGCCCCCGAGCGCCCGCUCACAACACUGCUUAAGAUAUAGUCCGGCCGUGCUGGAAACAGCACGGGCUGGCAAACCCAGAAACGGGAGCCUGCGGCUUAAUUUGACUCAACACGGGGAAACUCACCAGGUCCAGACACAAUGAGGAUUGACAGAUUGAGAGCUCUUUCUUGAUUUUGUGGGUGGUGGUGCAUGGCCGUUCUUAGUUGGUGGAGUGAUUUGUCUGCUUAAUUGCGAUAACGAACGAGACCUUAACCUGCUAAAUAGCCUGUAUUGCUUUGGCAGUACGCUGGCUUCUUAGAGGGACUAUCGGCUCAAGCCGAUGGAAGUUUGAGGCAAUAACAGGUUGACCUACACAGGCCUGUAACAGUAGUCCUCGUUAAAAUAUCUGCUAGUCCAUGUAACGUCUCUGUUGGGGCAGUCCCCUUCUAUCGGGCAGAGAGGAUUCGAAAGAGUCCUAGUUACGGGCGACACCACCUGGUACAGGGAACGCCGACCCAGGCACAUCAGCAAUGAUGUACUGGAGGCCGAUCCUGUGGCGAGCUCGGGUCACGCCGAGCCGUCGCAACGUGCGGAAAGGGGUGGGCCAGCAUAACCUGCUGGCUUAAGGUACGUACUAAUCCCAUGGGAAACCAUGCCCGUGCAGCAAGGCCCGAUAGGCUGAUCUGCACGGGGGCAGGCCACAGGCCUGCCGGCGUCGCCCGCGUAUGCGGGUGGACGAACAAAUGCUGUGAUGCCCUUAGAUGUUCUGGGCCGCACGCGCGCUACACUGACGGAGCCAGCGAGUACUUCCUUGGUCGAAAGGCUCGGGUAAUCUUGUUAAACUCCGUCGUGCUGGGGAUAGAGCAUUGCAAUUAUUGCUCUUCAACGAGGAAUCCCUAGUAAGCGCAAGUCAUCAGCUUGCGUUGAUUACGUCCCUGCCCUUUGUACACACCGCCCGUCGCUACUACCGAUCGAAUGGCUCAGUGAGGCGUCCGGACUGGCCCAGGGAGGUGGGCAACUACCCCCCCGGGCCGGGAAGCUCUCCAAACUCGGUCAUUUAGAGGAAGUAAAAGUCGUAACAAGGUCUCCGUUGGUGAACCAGCGGAGGGAUCAUUA
Molecule: ribosomal RNA, 2543 nt
Filed under: Cordyceps militaris
Lineage: Eukaryota; Fungi; Ascomycota; Sordariomycetes; Hypocreales; Cordycipitaceae
Description: SSU rRNA
Rfam family: Eukaryotic small subunit ribosomal RNA
Source: RNAcentral